This 466-nucleotide ribosomal RNA is filed under the name uncultured Bacillus sp. RNAcentral describes it as "bacterial SSU rRNA". It matches the Rfam family "Bacterial small subunit ribosomal RNA", at positions 338 to 795 of the family's 1533-position model. The record is from RNAcentral. Lineage: Bacteria; Bacillati; Bacillota; Bacilli; Caryophanales; Bacillaceae.
CCUACGGGAGGCAGCAGUAGGGAAUCUUCCGCAAUGGACGAAAGUCUGACGGAGCAACGCCGCGUGAGUGAUGAAGGCUUUCGGGUCGUAAAACUCUGUUGUUAGGGAAGAACAAGUGCUAGUUGAAUAAGCUGGCACCUUGACGGUACCUAACCAGAAAGCCACGGCUAACUACGUGCCAGCAGCCGCGGUAAUACGUAGGUGGCAAGCGUUGUCCGGAAUUAUUGGGCGUAAAGCGCGCGCAGGUGGUUUGUUGAGUCUGAUGUGAAAGCCCACGGCUCAACCGUGGAGUGGCAUUGGAGACGGGGAGACUUGAGUGUAGGAGAGGAAAGUGGAAUUCCAUGUGUAGCGGUGAAAUGCGUAGAGAUAGGGAGGAACACCGGUGGCGAAGGCGACUUUCUGGUCUGUAACUGACGCUGAGGCGCGAAAGCGUGGGGAGCAAACAGGAUUAGAUACCCUGGUAGUC